Molecule: long non-coding RNA, 650 nt
Filed under: Androctonus crassicauda
Lineage: Eukaryota; Metazoa; Arthropoda; Arachnida; Scorpiones; Buthidae
Source: RNAcentral
AUUAUAUCAUAAACUAUUAUUGUGAACUUUAUCUAAUUUUAUUAUGUUCAAGUUUAAUUGUUGAGAAUGGAACUCCUGUUUUUAAAAUUAGGUCUAUGAGAAAUUGGUUCUUGGUUUAUGAGUUUUUACUUUAUGAGCUCACUAUAGGAAUAAAUUAACUCAUAAAGUUAAGAACUACUUAUACAGUUUAAAAAGGCAGUUUCUCAAUAAAAGUUUUAAUAAGUUGGCUGUAUAGCUGUAUAAAAGCAUGCUAGAUUUCCAUAUGAACAAUCUAGGAUCAAAUCAGUGUCCCUCACUUCUAGAUUAUUAUUAUUUUUUUGAGGAUCAUAGUUCAACUGUUUUAUCCUUAUUCUUUAUUUAUUGGCUAACCUCAUCCAAUAAUGAGUGGCUUAAGUUGGGCUCUGGAAUUGUUUUAUGUACUUACACAUUCACCCCCUUGAUAUAUGAGCAUUCAUAUUUACGAAUGUGAAAUUUCAUUUUCAUUUUCAAUUUCAUUUUUUAUUUCAUGAAAGUUCAAAAACUCUUCAAUAAUUUUAAACAAUACGAUAGUAGAAUGUUCUAGAAGCCAGUAUAAAGUGAAAUUAUACAGUUAGUGAACAUAUUAAGGCAAUAAUUCAAGAUGGCAUUGAUUAUACCAAAUAAUUCUCGCU